AGCUUCAUGCAGUGACAGCAUGGUAGCCAGUGAGGCUUAUCUGAGGCACUGAUGAUUGCUAAUUGAAAACUUUUCCAAUACCCCACCAUGACGACUUGAAAUAUAGUUGUCAUUACCAUUUCUUUUUAGAUGUUAUAACAU
Small nuclear RNA from Otolemur garnettii (small-eared galago), 141 nucleotides. Its record names the gene U4. It matches the Rfam family "U4 spliceosomal RNA". Rfam says of the family: U4 small nuclear RNA (U4 snRNA) is a component of the major U2-dependent spliceosome. The structure of U4 snRNA from yeast and human has been reported. Lineage: Eukaryota; Metazoa; Chordata; Mammalia; Primates; Galagidae. The record is from Ensembl.